GGCUGGCCUGAUGGGCCACACCGCAGGCCACACCCAAAGAGCUGCUCCUGGGGCAGAGAGCGCCUCUGAGCAGGAAAUGACAGAGGAAGUUUUGGGUGCAGCUUUACCGAUAAGGACCCGUGAAACAAACAACGCCGUGUGAUACCGAUCAGCAAACAUUUCAGCCAAGCAGCGUGGAAGGAAGACUGCAGGCAAAAUGGCGGAAAGAAAAAGAUAAAGUAGGUAGCUCCUUACGAAGUGUAAUAACAGGAACAAGAAAACUGGACUUGGCAGCCUUUUGUUCUAUUUGUCAGCGACUCUACAAUCUACUCAGGAGGCCGAAGCAGGAGAACCGCUUGAACCCGGGAGGCAGAGGUUGCAGGGAGCCAAGGUUACACAAUUGCACUCCAGCCUGGGCGAUAGAGCAGCACUCCACCCCAACAUAAACAAACAAAGAAAACAUAAAAUAGCUAGAAGAGAGGAAUUGCCACGUGUCAAGAAAAGACAAAUAAAGUCAACAAAAUAAUCUAAAGCUCCUUGAAUUGAUUAAGUUGUUUUGUUUUUCAUUUAAAAGAUAGUUCUAUGUCUUCCCUCCAGUUUUCUCACAGUACGAAGUACAAACAAGUGACAGGACAAACACUGCAUCUAUUAUCAUUUUCUCAACGUCAUGUACGUCAGCAUUUCUUACACUAAAUAGCUAAGGUUUUGUAAGUGUAGACACGAGUUGAACUAAACUGAGUUAUAACAAUGAAUAUCUGGAUUUUAAAAAUCAACCUUUUAAACCUCCAACAAUAGCAAUAAUUUCGUAACCCUACAAAGUUACUCCACCUUGUAAAUGGAAUAACUUCUAAGAUUUCCUCAUCUACUGACUUCGAGACCUGGGGUGGAUAAUAAAUUGAGGUAAUUAGCAAGUAAUGGUUACCUGGAUAAUCUCCAAAGGAAUGAAAAUUCCUAAAGACAAAAUGCAAAGGCACACAGUUAUUUCUGACAUAUGUAUUCUUGCCUAUGCAUGAACACAAUGGCGCCACACAGCACUCACCAAUCAGGAAAUCACUGUAAUAUAAACAUUGUUUUGUGCUUUAUUAGACACAGGGUCUCACUCUGUCCCCCAGGCUAGAGUGCACCGGUGCA
This 1110-nucleotide long non-coding RNA is filed under the name Callithrix jacchus (white-tufted-ear marmoset). Its description in RNAcentral is "lncRNA (ENSCJAG00000073478.1)". The record is from RNAcentral. Lineage: Eukaryota; Metazoa; Chordata; Mammalia; Primates; Cebidae.